Molecule: ribosomal RNA, 524 nt
Filed under: uncultured bacterium
Lineage: Bacteria
Description: bacterial SSU rRNA
Rfam family: Bacterial small subunit ribosomal RNA
Source: RNAcentral
UUUGAUCCUGGCUCAGGAUGAACGCUAGCGGCAGGCUUAACACAUGCAAGUCGAGGGGUAACAGGGAUUGCUUGCAAUCCGCUGACGACCGGCGCACGGGUGCGUAACGCGUAUGCAACCUACCUUCUACAGGGGGAUAGUCAAUAGAAAUGUUGAAUAAUACCCCAUACGAUCUUUGAAUAGCAUUAUUUAAAGAAGAAAGUUCCGGCGGUAGAAGAUGGGCAUGCGUCCUAUUAGUUAGUUGGAGAGGUAACGGCUCCCCAAGACAUCGAUAGGUAGGGGUCCUGAGAGGGAGACCCCCCACACUGGUACUGAGACACGGACCAGACUCCUACGGGAGGCAGCAGUGAGGAAUAUUGGACAAUGGAGGCAACUCUGAUCCAGCCAUGCCGCGUGCAGGAAGACUGCCCUAUGGGUUGUAAACUGCUUUUAUACAGGAAGAAAUGUACCUACGUGUAGGUAUUUGACGGUACUGUACGGAUAAGGAUCGGCUAACUCCGUGCCAGCAGCCGCGGUAAUAAGGG